CUCCCUCGGGGAGGACGGCAGAGAUGGAUCUGAGGCUUCUCCUGCGGUUGAAAUCCUCCUGGACGGAUUGAGGGACGAGGAGCUGGUUGAUGCCGUGGAUGACGCCGUCGGGUCUGGUGAGGUCGUCGGGUUUGACGAUCUCGGAUGACCCGACGAGUUUUUUACGAGAGGAAGGGUGGGUGGAGAGGUGGAGGUGGUGGGAGGAGAGGGAGAGGUGCUUGGCCGGGUAGACGGCGGAGGAGGAAGGCCAGUCAGGGGAUCCGACCCGGGAAGGAAUAAUGUGGUGGAGGAGGAGGGUCUGGAGGGACUUGAGAUUGCGGGGCUCGAGGAGGAAGCGCUUGAACUCCGGGUCGAGACGGCGCUGGAGAGCUUCGUUGCGAGGAGCGAAGAUGGUUAGGUUAUGGGUUCCAACGGCGGCUUCGAGCUCCGGGAGGAGCAGGGCCUUUUCGACGAGCUCGGAGAGCUCAGUGUAGUGGGAGUCGAGGAGGGCGACGAGGACGGAGUUGGAGUUGAUUUGAUUGGUGGAUUUAGAAGGCAAUGCGGUGGAAGUGGAGAGGAGGAGGAAGAAGAAGAAGAAGAGGAAAGAGACACCAUAGAUUGGGGGAUCCAUGGUGGCUCGGGGAAUUGGGAGGUUACAGAGGUGUGGAGGUGUGAGGAAUGAGGAUGAAUUGAAGUGAAGAUUUGAGAAGAAGAAGAAGAAGAAGGAGAAGGGAUUUGGUGAGUUGGUAGUGAAAGAGGGACACGCGGAAUGUAGCGAGGAAGAAGGGAAAGGGAGAGUGGAAGAAAGAGAUGCAGAGA
Molecule: long non-coding RNA, 798 nt
Filed under: Linum usitatissimum (flax)
Lineage: Eukaryota; Viridiplantae; Streptophyta; Magnoliopsida; Malpighiales; Linaceae
Description: long non-coding RNA (LUSI_LNC007227)
Source: RNAcentral